Cynoglossus semilaevis (tongue sole) is the source of this 694-nucleotide long non-coding RNA. RefSeq lists it as uncharacterized. The transcript has 3 exons. The record is from RefSeq and is a predicted model, not a curated record. Lineage: Eukaryota; Metazoa; Chordata; Actinopteri; Pleuronectiformes; Cynoglossidae.
UAGUUGACCUAGGUCUGUGGAGGAGCCUGAGUCGUUAGCUUUGGGGAGUUCCAGCACCACCUGCAGGAGAGAGUAAUGAUGGAAGGUUAAGGUUAAAUCUUUGGUGGUCUUUGGUUCACCCUCUACCAACCAUCUCCUCAGUGAGGGAUGAAUGAAGUUCAAUCUUAAAUCAGGCUCUAGAUCCGACCUACCCAGAAAUUCAGAAGUCCUGUUUGGUCCAAGGAGGUCAGCUGGAAGGACCCCCCCGACUCUGAGUCUGGAGGAAGAAACACCACAGAUGACAGCAGGGUGACCUCUGACCCCAGGGCCCCCACUGCAGUGGUGGGGGCCACUUCUAACGAUACCACAGUUGACAAAUGUCCUGAACCAGCCAUCACUGCGUCUGUGGGAGGAGGGGAGAGGAGGUGUCAGUGCUGCAGUGACAUCACAGUCCUGAGGUGAUGAAGAACCACCGCAGGAAGUGACGACGGCAGGAAGUGAGAGGAAGGUAACUUCAGGUCACCAGAGUCAAGAGAACAACAACAAAGAUGUGGGAGAGACAGGAAGUUCACUUCAGGACCAGUGUACAAGCGUGUACCAGUGGAGAAGGUCGGCUGUCUGAAGGUCCAGUCCUGGUCCUCCAUCCUCAGACGGUGGUGGUUGGCAGCAGGUUCUCUCAGGUCCCACAGGAGCAGAGAACCCACUGAGGUCCCUG